AACGAACGCUGGCGGCAUGCCUAACACAUGCAAGUCGAACGAAGCCUUCGGGCUUAGUGGCGCACGGGUGCGUAACGCGUGGGAAUCUGCCCCUCGGUUCGGAAUAACAGUUAGAAAUGACUGCUAAUACCGGAUGAUGACGAAAGUCCAAAGAUUUAUCGCCGAGGGAUGAGCCCGCGUAGGAUUAGCUUGUUGGUGGGGUAAUGGCCCACCAAGGCGACGAUCCUUAGCUGGUCUGAGAGGAUGAUCAGCCACACUGGGACUGAGACACGGCCCAGACUCCUACGGGAGGCAGCAGUGGGGAAUAUUGGACAAUGGGCGAAAGCCUGAUCCAGCAAUGCCGCGUGAGUGAUGAAGGCCUUAGGGUUGUAAAGCUCUUUUACCAGGGAUGAUAAUGACAGAACCUGGAGAAUAAAGCUCCGGCUAACUCCGUGCCAGCAGCCGCGGUAAAACGUCUAACUG
This 462-nucleotide ribosomal RNA is filed under the name uncultured bacterium. Its description in RNAcentral is "bacterial SSU rRNA". It matches the Rfam family "Bacterial small subunit ribosomal RNA", at positions 29 to 536 of the family's 1533-position model. The record is from RNAcentral.